AAAAGAAACAGGAAAUUGUCAUCCAUCAGCAAACUCUCUUCUCCCUUGACCAACCUAGGUACGUUUUGGACUCAUGGUUUCACUUUUCUAUUCUCUCAGCUUACACCCAGAUUUGGCUAUUGUAUGCUCUCUUCUCAUUCGUGUGUGUGUGUGUGUGUGUGUGUGUGUGUGUGUGUGAUGGAGUCUCGCUCUGUUGCCCAGGCUGGAGUGCAGUGGCACAAUCUCAGCUCACUGUAGCCUCCACCUCCUGGGUUCAAGCAGUUCUCCUGCCUCAGCCUCCCGGGUAGCUGGGAUUACAGGUGCCUGCCACCAUGCCUGACUAAUUUUUGUAUUCUUAAUAGAGACGGGGUUUCACCAUGUUGGCCAGGCUGAUCUCGAACUCCUGACCUCAAGUGAUCUACCCGCCUCAGCCUCCCAAAGUGCUGGGAUUACAGGCAUGAACCACCAUGCCUGGCCCCUCCUCAUUCUUUUGUUGAGAACUUUGCACAUAGACUGUUUGGGAGUAUUCCAUCUCAUAAAUCUUUUGCAUUGUUCAUCAUUCUGAAUCCCAUUUCCAUUACUUCAGCCCUUCUCGGGCAGCGUUCCUUACCCUGUUUAGCAUUUAUGUCACUUGCCUUAAAUAGACCUUCUCUUAAUUUCAUCUGAACUGUUAUGCUUUAUGGAGAUUUUUAGCUGAAUGGGGGAGGUUGUGAUUUUAUCGUUAACCCCAUAGGGAGACAGAUCACAUUUGUGAGGAUAUGUUGGAGAGAACCUUGGAGUCAGAGAGAACGGGGUCCAAGCUCUUGUGUUCCUUUUUUCUGGCUGUCAGGCCCUGGGCAAGGGACCUCACCAGUCUGACUCCCAGUUUCCUCAUCUACAAACAUGAGGAUAUAAAUAGUGCUGACCUUGCUGGGUUAUUGGGCCUGGUCUUCAAUGAUGUUAGUUCAUGUCUCUGUCUACUGCUCCCUCCACCCCCUGCCUCAUGCCUUGUUCUUUGACCUUGGCAUUGAUGAUCUUUGGUCUGAUUCUUGGCAUGCACCUUUUCAGAAUCCAUGAGCCUCUAUAAGCAGCUAUUCAUGUUCCAUGCAUUGUGGUCUUUGGGAUUAGGCUGACUUGGGUUCCAAUCCCAAUUCUCCUGCUUAGCACUUGUGUCACUUGAACUCUUGGAGACUCACUUUCCUCAUGGGCCAGUGGGAGAUAUUAUGAGUAUUGCUAUGGCUGGAAUGUGUGUCCCCUCCAAAACUCAUAUUGAAAGUUAAUCCCCAAUAUGGCAGUAUUGACAGGUGGGGCCUUUAAGAGGCCAUUGGGUCAUGAGGGCUGUGCCCUCAUAAAUGGAUUAAUGGGUUAUCAUGGGAGUGGGACUGUGGCUUUAUAGGAGGAGGAGAGACCUAAGUUUCCAAGCUCAGCCCCCUCACCAUGUGAUGCCCUGAGCUGUCUUGGAACUCUGCAGAGAGUCCCCACCUGCAAGAAGGCCCUCACCAGAUGUGGCCCCUCUACCUGGGACUUCGCAGCCUCCAUAACUGUAAGAAAUAGAUUCCUUUUCUUUAUAGAUUGCCCAGUUUCAGAUAUUCUAUUAUAAGCAACAGAUAAUGGACUAAGACAAGUACCAAUCUCUGAAGUUAUCACAAACAUUGGCUGAAAUAAUAUUCUGGAAACACUUAGUGUAGAGCCUGGUAUAUUGUAAGUUGAUCAAUAACAGGUAUUGCUAUUACACGUUAUAGGAACACUAGACUCUAAACCCCUGGAGGCAAGGACUGUGUUUCUUCAUCUUUGUACACCUUUAUCCUUGAAAAGGGCCUGAAACACCGUGGGCCCUCUGCUGGUUUCAGAUCCUUCCAUCUCCUGUAACAAAAACAGAGCUGCUUUGCGGCCAACUUGGCCAGAACACUGGCAUCUCCAUAAAAUCCUACCUGUUACACAAAUGCCACUUUCUAAGAUCCUAGAGACAGGGUGGGAUCAUGAAGUGAAAUGCCUCAGGACUUCAUUGAGUGACCCAACUGCCAGUUGCUGUUGGGAGGAUGGGGAAGGUAGGCGGAAGCCAUGACCCCAACGGGGGCUUCUCUAAAGGGAGGGGCCUUGCUCCAGAGCUGGAUAUCUUAUUUAUGUGUUCUCAUCUCAAUAUUUUUCUGAGAACCUUCUUAGAAUUUCACUGGGAGUCAAAAAACACAUUUUGCCAAAUUCAGAGGCCUUGUAACCACAGGGCCUCAGCCUAGUGACCAAACCGAGACCAAACAGUAACCUUCUGGUGCUGUUUACAGCUGGCAAAAGACCACUUUGGGCUUCACAGUAAAAAGAGUUAGAAAAUUGUAUGAAAAGGCUCAGAAGACUCACGGACAUCAAAUAGCUCUAACCAAACCAAUGUAAUUAGUUAAGUAUAAAUGAAUCAGAACCAUAUGGCUUAAAUGCUAAAGGAAAAAGAGUUGGAGGAAAAAAUGUCCUUUGGGAUUUAAUCAAACAAAAAUUGCUGGAAAAAUCGUUGAUGUCCACCAAGCUCAGACCCCAACUGGGUGCCCUCCAAUCCUGCUUUAGCAUUUCUCUCCUUCCCAAGGUACUCGCCGUGAAGCAAGGGUGACUUCUGGGUCCUGCUCUCUUGAUGCUGGGCGUCAUAGGGAUGGAGUAGGUGUGGAGUGGGCACUAAGGCUCAGGGAAUCUGGGGAGCACUGAGAAGGGGUGCCCAAGUCAGCCCUUGGCAGACUGGGAAUGGCUUCCCUGUGGAGAUGAAACUGAGCCAGGAUUACAAGUAGACGAGGGAUUGUGGGGCUGGGGUGGAGUGGGCAUUUUGGAGGAGGCAGUGGCGUAUGCACGUGCACAGAGGAUAGACGAAACCUGGGACGAUCAUGGAACUGCAAGAAAUUUGGAGUGGCUGGUUCUCAACUCAUGCCUUCCUUCCCUGGCCACCCAAUUAAAGGCACACGGCCUCUUCCAUUCACUCUCAAUCACAUCGCCCUGUGGCAUUCUCCUAGCAACACUUUUCACAGAAAGAAAGAAAUGCUCUCAUCUCUUUCUUUCUCUCAUUGUUAUUUACAUUCCCUGGCAUGUAAGCUUCUUAAGAGAAAGGCUCUUGUUUGUCUUGUCCCCCCACUGUGCACUGUGGUUCUAGCAGCUAACACAGCAUCUGACUUGGAGUGGCUGCCCAGUACGCAUUUGAAGAAUGAAUGAAUGGAAAGUGAAUGAGCGAAUGGCUGGAGAGUAGAAGACGUGAGGGAUGGGGAAAGAAGAAAGACUGGAGAAGUGGGCAGGUGCCAGGCCUGGAAGACUGUACGUGGUGCUAAGAGGCCCCUGAAGGUAAUGGAAAGCCAAUCAAGGGUUUCUAGGAGGAUGUGAUGAGGAUGCGAUAAGGUAACACUGUGUUAUGUUGUUGGGAAUCAGUGAAGGUGGGAAACCUGGAACCCUGGAGAAAAUGAGUGACAACCAAAUCCUACGUUUGUUUGGUGUUUCCCCAUCAUCCCUCAAAGGGUGUGUAAGAUAGUGAGCCAUGUAGAAUAAGUAAUUAAUUAAUGCUGCGGGUUAAUAAGGGGUAGAUGACUCUCAAUUGCUACAUGCAAGCUGUUAUUUUCUCAUUUAGAAAAAGGAUCUUGUGGCUCACUGUGGAAAAUCAUCUUCCAGAAAAAAGAAAGAGACAUGUAUGUCGGCUCUGUCUAGAAUAUUUUCUCUGAACCAGAAUCUCUUUCCGUAGGGUAGCUGCCCUUGGCAACUCUCGGGUUACAAGAAGCUGGGCAGGAGAUUCCUGUGACAUUUCAGCAGAGUCACGAGUGGGUGGGAUGGGGAAGCUCCGAGCUGCAAAAUAGGUAAGUUGCUCAAUGUCCCUGGAAAACCUCCGAGGACAGAACUGAGUGUGAUUUGGGGGAGUAUUUUAGGUUCAGAGACAUCUUUAUGUUAGGCGAGAAAUUCAUGCCCCAGGCUCGUGGAGUUGCUCAUAACAGUGUGUUAUUGCUGGAAGCCCCAGAGGAGCUUGGACUCAGCUCCCUUAACAGGGGGCUGAGCCUCUCUGAGAAAGCUGUUUACUUCCCCAGACACAUCAGUCUCACUUACCCAUGUUUAUUGCUUCUGCUCCUCUGCUUUACCCUCCAGGCCUCAGGUGCAGGAGAAGCCAGUCCUCUUCUCUAAACAGAAGACACUGCAAUCACCGUAGCUAGAUCUUCCUUAGUGUUUGCCAUGUACCCGCUCUCGUUCCAGGCGUGUUCUAGGUGUAUCAUCUAACUGGGCCUUCAGAGCUCGGAAGCUCAGAGAGCUGAAAUCACUUGCUCAAGGUCACACAGUCAGUACAAGUGGAGGUUUGAGCACUGCGCCUCUUAGAGUCCCUCACCUCAGGUGAUUUUAACCCUUACAUAUGGAGCUUGCCAGAAACUCAAGCCCACCCUUUUCCUCCACACCAUGUAACUCUGCCCUGGUUUUAUCAAGAAGCACCUGCCUUCUCUUCUGGAUUUAAAUAGUAACGUUUGUGGUGAGCAUUUGUGGGCUUGGGACUGUUCAGUGGCCAGCAGCACUUCCAUUCCCUAUGGAGACCCACCCUCCAUUGUGUGCCAUCACGGCACAGUGGGUGAUGAACUUGCCCCUUACACAGAAGCACAAACACCCAGUUCUCCCCCUCUCUUCUCCAGCUGCAACCAAACGGUAUGCACAUAAUCCAGGCUAGGGUAGCCACAUGUUCCCUCCAGGACUUGGACCCUUGAGUGAGUGAUUUGGGGCCGGGAGGAGCGGCUGGAGGCUCUCCAGGCCAGCGGCAGCGGUGGCGUGCUGGCCACCCAUUCUCGUGACCUUGCUAAGGCCCCUGUUGCUUAACUCUCUGGCAAGCCCUUGGUUUCUGGCCAUUUUCCAGACUUCAUCACUCUUCUCUGCCAAUUCUAUGAGCCCCUGAUAGCCUUCCAAUAAAUUCCACUUGAUUACCACAUGGCUUGCAAUCAAGAACCCAGCAUAACACACAACCACUUAUUAAAUACUAAGUAAGAGCCAGACACUUGACAUGUGACAUCUUGUCAGAUCCUCAAACACCCCGGUGAGGAAAGCGUUAUUAUCCCUGUUUUCCAAAUGAGGACACUGAGGCUCAGGGAGCUGGGUGAUGUGUCAAAAGUUGCCCAGCUGCAGAGUGGCAAUGCUGGAAUUUGAAGCCAGGCUUUUCUGAUUCUGAAUUCCAUGUUUUCUUACUUGCCUUUUUCUUCUGCUCCAGCUUGCAGUGCCUCGGAGAGGUGGCGCUGGCUAGCCUGGGACUUCCAACAUACAGCCUACAUUGAUGGCCUGAGACUUGUGGCAAAAAAGACUUUCAAAAUCUAAUUUGCUCACAUACAUGAACACCUGCCAGGAAGGAAUUUGAGGCCUUUGUUCUAAACAUGGAAAAGCUGAGUUCAUUUGCCCCAGAGGGGGCACCUGCAGGGAAAAGGAAAAAUGGUUUUAACCCUUUCCUUGAGUCAGAAAAUGAGGCCACCAGAUUCUCCUUUCAUCCUUCAAGUAUCAGAAAGGUCUGUGCUGUGAAUUCCACAGAUGAGAUUCAUUGCAAGAUGUGAGGGCAGAGGAAAUCCAUGGAAAUGAAAUCCACAUUCAAACUGGAUGCAUGCGUUCAGCAACUGGAAGCUGAGUUCAUAUUUCAUUGCCCAACUACCCUGACCACUUGGGAAUCGCAGGUUUGGAAGGACCCACAGCCAUUCUGUGGAAAUGGAUCUGCUUUCAGGACCGAAUCUCAGACUUCUUGGGGAAGGUUUCAGUGGCUGCCUUUGCUGUGCAGACCUGGAGAUGGGUCUGAUGAUCGGACACCUGAAUUAUCUGUGUGGCUGAGUUUCAAGAAGACCUGCUGGGGUGAAAUGAAAAUGGUGCCUACUAGAAGCCCCAGUGGCUUUGCUGGUGGAGGCUAGCUUGCUCAUGUCCUCAUACAGAAGCAGAGAUGCAAGCAAGUGAGAAGGUGGAAGGACUCAGGUCUUGGGCCUUACUCUGAGAACUAUAACACCAUUCCUUCUGCUGCAUUCUCUUGUCUAAAUGACAUGGAUGAAGCUGGAAGCCAUCAUUCUCAGCAAACUAACACAAGGACAGAAAACCAAACACCGUGUGUUCUCACUCAUAGAUUUGCUCCUCCACUGGCUCUUCUUGUAGACACACGACUGCUACAGUAUCAAGGGUCUGAUGCAGACAUGACAAUGUCAAGAGGAAGAGGAGAGCCUCGCUCUUCCCAGGCUUUUGCUUUUAAGAGCAGAAAAACUUUCCCCAGAGUUCCACCAGCUCACUUCUCAUCUUACUUCUUUGGCCAGAACUGGCCCUUGUGCCCAUAUUGUCAGUCAAAUGCCGACAAAGGAAAGGGGCCACUAUGAGUGGUUUAGACUUGGAUUGGAUUUGUCCUUAUUGGAUUGUCCUUAAGUCCUUUGAAAAAGAAGUAUACAACAGAAUGAAAUCUUGACUCAGCUUUCAAGAAUAAAGAGGGUGAGAUGACUGAUGGAUGGCUAGCAAAAUCAGAUGUGGGCUCUGUCCUCAUGGAGCAUACAGUCAGAAGGGGAAGAUUUACCUAAUUACACUAACAAACUUAUAACUGUGGUCAGUGUUCUGAAGGAAAGGAAAUCCAGUUGUAUGGUAACGUAUAACAAAGAAACUGAACUAGGAUGGAGAUGGGGGUGGUAAGUGUAGUUGGGGAAGCCAGGGACAUGAUCUGUAAGAUGGCUGGCCUGGAUUCAAAUUCCACUCCACUUACUUGCUGUGUGAUUUUAGAUUAGUCGCUUCUCCUCUCUGAGCUCAACUUCAUCUAUAACAAUCUUUCCUAGGGUUGUUAAAGGAUUGAAUGAGCCACUCUAUGUAACCACUUGACACAUAUUAGGCACUUCAGUGGCUCCUUUUCCAGAUUAAAGAAGGAGAAAACGUGUAUGUUUGGAGUUAGCACAAGACAGGAUGAUUCCUCAUGUUUGUUUUGGAAAACAAGUCUUAAACUCACAGCCAUGACAGAGUCUGACAUCAUCAGACAUCAGGCGUGUUAAGAAUUGCACUCUUAAUUGAAAAUGUCCAGAGUUUGUGAUUAAUUGCAAUCCUUUUCAGAUCCUUUCCCUAAGAAUUUAAUUUUUCUCCCCACCCACCCGGAGGUCAGGCUUUUAAUGUAACAAGUACAAUCAAUCUUCCACUGAAGAUGGCCUCUCUCUAGUGCAAGCUGGAGCAGGACUCAUCUGGAUUAGAAGCCUAGACGGUUUGGAGUCACCUGGUGAGGUUUACGUGCACAGCUGGGGCCCAGCCUACCUAAUUAGGACCAGAGAGUGGUUGAGAAGGGGACCGGCGCGUAUUCUAGGCGCCCUCCUCCAGUGUCUGUUUCUAAUAAUGGCAGAAAGUAGCAGAGGCGGCGGGGUGAGCUUGGAGCGUGGUGACAUCAUCCCUCCAGCUGUUUUACACAUCUGUGACAUGGCUCAUUAGGACUCUCUUAACACCUCAUCCUUCCCUGCUCCACACAGCUCCAGUUGCAUGAGAAAAGGUGCUCUUGCAUGUGAGGGGCCCCAAGACUGGGGCUGACUUCAGGGUCAAAGAUUCGCUUGGGCACUCUACCAGUCAUCAGAAUUUUCACAGAGACACCCCCCCAACACACACACCCGCAGCAUGCGCUCCUUGAAAGUGCUAAUAGCUUCAAUAUGAGGCUGGCACUUCUGCAUGACUGUUGGUGUUCAGGGCCAGCCUAGUCUUGGGGAGUAGGCCAUCUGUAGCAGCUGCAGAAAUGUUUUUGCUUAUUUUGAGCAUUCUAAGUUUUUCCUAGCCAUGAAUAACAACAAUCGAAUAAAUCAUCCCACAGUGUG
Homo sapiens (human) is the source of this 7727-nucleotide long non-coding RNA. RefSeq lists it as uncharacterized. Lineage: Eukaryota; Metazoa; Chordata; Mammalia; Primates; Hominidae. The record is from RefSeq and is a predicted model, not a curated record. The transcript has 5 exons.